CAAGCGCCAAGCGAAGAAAAAUAAUAGCGCUAAAUCUCAAAUAUCACAACCGUCCACUCUUUCCACAACUCCCAAUUUACAAUUUCUUUCUACAAUUCCCAAGCGAAAAGAAUAACUCACUCUGGUGACCAAAGAUAAUUCGAAAAAACAGCUGAAGGUUAAUUCUCUAACAUCGGGAAUUUCUAAUUCGAUUAUAAGUUAUGACUUCUAAAUGACGAGGGCAGUUAGCAAAAGUGUUUGUUUGCAAGACGAACCAAAUGUUUCACAACAAAGGUUGGAAACCGAUGAAGGUAAUAAUAAACAGUGAACUGAUUACUUUAUUACUCUAAUGAAGCAGUUAUGAUUUCAAUAUAUUCUUUUAUAAUGAUAUACAAGUUUCACUACUAAGACAGCAAUAGGCAGAAGAGUUUAUUGUAGAAAUCUACAUUAAAAAACUUUGGACAUGGUCACAUCUUCAUGGCCCUUCGCACCACAGCCAUGAAAGUGUGCCACCAUUGGAGAAUGAGGGCUUGAGUGUAGACGUCGAACAACAAGAAGAUGAAGGUAAUGGGAAAUCAAACAUUGUGACAAGUUGUGUAACCUUUUAAAUAAUAGACUAAUCAUAUUAUACUCGUCGUUCUUCAAAGCAUUGCAUCUGGUGCUGAAAUUGUUGAAAAGCAAAGUAGAGGCCCUACGUAUAUGAAAAAUAUUUGGGGUCGCCCUCUAAACUUGUCUCCCAUUCAUGUUGAAUAUAAUGAGUUCGGUCAAGCUAUAGGUGGUGAGGAUAGCACUCUCUGCCAUUUCCUAGGUUCGAUUGCAAGAAGCGGUAAUUAUUGUCCUAUAGAUAUUAAAAGUUGGCAUGCCAUUCCAAAGGAGAAAAAAACUGAGAUGCUUGACAUUGUAAAAGUUACGAGUCCAUGUCCCUAUCACUAAUGAGAAGUGGAUUCUGGAAUCUGUCGGGCUUAAAUGGAGAAACUGGAAGCAUAACUUGAAAACACGAUACUGGGCUGACGUACCUAUCGAGCAUUUAAUAGAUGAUAGGGACGAAAGAGUUUUGGAAGUUCAAUGGAUCAAUCUCUUUGCCUAUUGGAGAACAUAACAUGCCAAGAAUGCAAGCAAAAGAAACAAAAAAGCUCGAGAGAAAAAGUUAAUGAAUCAAAGAACAUGAAAGAAGUCGUUUGCCCAAGUUAAAGCCAAAAUGACCAAAGAACUUGGACAAUGCCCAUCUCGUGUUCAACUUUUCAAAACUUGUUUUGUUUCUUCAAAUGGAAGCACAAGUGAUGCGGUCUCUAGCAAAAUUUCAGCAAUGGAAGAUUGUAGUGAUCAAUCUUUUGAAGGUUCGGACGAUGCAAUUGCUCCAGAUGAUAUCUUUGCCCAAAUCAUGGGGAAGGAUAGACCCGGCCAUGUAAGGAUGAUGGGUAAGGGAGUGCGUCCUUCAGAUUUAUGAAUCGAAACUUCUAAAAGCACAUCAAACCGUUUGCUAGUGGAGUAUCGAGAAAAGAUUGAACGGCUGGAGGCAAGGCUUGCAACACAAGAAAGAACUAGUGGUUCACAAGAAGGCACUAGGCCAAAUGUGAUAGUCUCUGAGCCUUCCUCAGUAAAUGCUACAACAGCUCAUAUUGAUCAGGUUGCUACAUACGUGUGUCUAAGAAGUGUUUUCACAAAAAAAAUCGUUGCUAAAGGAUGUAUUCAUAGCAUAGAUCCAAGUACAAAAGUUGGCGGACGAAUGUUGGGAUUGAAUUGGUGUGAAAUAAAUGUUAAAGUUGUGGUUGAACCUAAGGAACAAUUGAUCAGACCCUACGACAACUUGCAAGAGCUUUCCCAGACAGUUGGUCAUAUGAUUGUUGGCCAUGUUUUUUUGGUGGUGUCGCAGAGAACGUUUGCUCUUUCGACAGAUUUAAGAGGCUAACAUAUCUGAAGAAACAAGCAAUGCACUUCUGGAUAUUAUCUUUUGUGUAUUUUACAUAGAAGAAGAACAAAACUUUUAAUAUUGUUUAGUAUGCAUGUUAAAAAACAUUUUGGCAUUAGAUACUUUGAACUUUUGUUAUGUAAAUAAGGCGUUUUAUUUUAA
Long non-coding RNA from Salvia splendens (bonfire salvia), 2050 nucleotides. RefSeq lists it as uncharacterized. The record is from RefSeq and is a predicted model, not a curated record. The transcript has 8 exons. Lineage: Eukaryota; Viridiplantae; Streptophyta; Magnoliopsida; Lamiales; Lamiaceae.